GUAAUGUCUGGGAAACUGCCUGAUGGAGGGGGAUAACUACUGGAAACGGUGGCUAAUACCGCAUAACGUCGCAAGACCAAAGAGGGGGACCUUCGGGCCUCUUGCCAUCAGAUGUGCCCAGAUGGGAUUAGCUAGUUGGUGAGGUAACGGCUCACCAAGGCGACGAUCCCUAGCUGGUCUGAGAGGAUGACCAGCCACACUGGAACUGAGACACGGUCCAGACUCCUACGGGAGGCAGCAGUGGGGAAUAUUGCACAAUGGGCGCAAGCCUGAUGCAGCCAUGCCGCGUGUAUGAAGAAGGCCUUCGGGUUGUAAAGUACUUUCAGCGGGGAGGAAGGUGUUGUGGUUAAUAACCGCAGCAAUUGACGUUACCCGCAGAAGAAGCACCGGCUAACUCCGUGCCAGCAGCCGCGGUAAUACGGAGGGUGCAAGCGUUAAUCGGAAUUACUGGGCGUAAAGCGCACGCAGGCGGUCUGUCAAGUCGGAUGUGAAAUCCCCGGGCUCAACCUGGGAACUGCAUUCGAAACUGGCAGGCUUGAGUCUUGUAGAGGGGGGUAGAAUUCCAGGUGUAGCGGUGAAAUGCGUAGAGAUCUGGAGGAAUACCGGUGGCGAAGGCGGCCCCCUGGACAAAGACUGACGCUCAGGUGCGAAAGCGUGGGGAGCAAACAGGAUUAGAUACCCUGGUAGUCCACGCCGUAAACGAUGUCUACUUGGAGGUUGUGCCCUUGAGGCGUGGCUUCCGGAGCUAACGCGUUAAGUAGACCGCCUGGGGAGUACGGCCGCAAGGUUAAAACUCAAAUGAAUUGACGGGGGCCCGCACAAGCGGUGGAGCAUGUGGUUUAAUUCGAUGCAACGCGAAGAACCUUACCUGGUCUUGACAUCCACAGAACUUUCCAGAGAUGGACUGGUGCCUUCGGGAACUGUGAGACAGGUGCUGCAUGGCUGUCGUCAGCUCGUGUUGUGAAAUGUUGGGUUAAGUCCCGCAACGAGCGCAACCCUUAUCCUUUGUUGCCAGCGGUCCGGCCGGGAACUCAAAGGAGACUGCCAGUGAUAAACUGGAGGAAGGUGGGGAUGACGUCAAGUCAUCAUGGCCCUUACGACCAGGGCUACACACGUGCUACAAUGGCGCAUACAAAGAGAAGCGACCUCGCGAGAGCAAGCGGACCUCAUAAAGUGCGUCGUAGUCCGGAUUGGAGUCUGCAACUCGACUCCAUGAAGUCGGAAUCGCUAGUAAUCGUGGAUCAGAAUGCCACGGUGAAUACGUUCCCGGGCCUUGUACACACCGCCCGUCACACCAUGGGAGUGGGUUGCAAAAGAAGUAGGUAGCUUAACCUUCGGGAGGGCGCUUACCACUUUGUGAUUCAUGACUGGGGUGAAGUCGUAACAAGGUAACCGUAGGGGAACCUGCGGUUGGAUCACCUCCUUACCUUAAAGAA
RNAcentral lists this ribosomal RNA (1436 nucleotides) under Salmonella enterica subsp. enterica serovar Bovismorbificans. RNAcentral's name for it is "bacterial SSU rRNA". It matches the Rfam family "Bacterial small subunit ribosomal RNA". Lineage: Bacteria; Pseudomonadati; Pseudomonadota; Gammaproteobacteria; Enterobacterales; Enterobacteriaceae. The record is from RNAcentral.